Molecule: ribosomal RNA, 492 nt
Filed under: uncultured bacterium
Lineage: Bacteria
Description: partial 16S ribosomal RNA
Rfam family: Bacterial small subunit ribosomal RNA
Source: RNAcentral
AGUGAACGCUGGCGGUAGGCCUAACACAUGCAAGUCGAACGGCAGCACAGUAAGAGCUUGCUCUUACGGGUGGCGAGUGGCGGACGGGUGAGGAAUACAUCGGAAUCUACUUUUUCGUGGGGGAUAACGUAGGGAAACUUACGCUAAUACCGCAUACGACCUACGGGUGAAAGCAGGGGAUCUUCGGACCUUGCACGAUUGAAUGAGCCGAUGUCGGAUUAGCUAGUUGGCGGGGUAAAGGCCCACCAAGGCGACGAUCCGUAGCUGGUCUGAGAGGAUGAUCAGCCACACUGGAACUGAGACACGGUCCAGACUCCUACGGGAGGCAGCAGUGGGGAAUAUUGGACAAUGGGCGCAAGCCUGAUCCAGCCAUACCGCGUGGGUGAAGAAGGCCUUCGGGUUGUAAAGCCCUUUUGUUGGGAAAGAAAAGCAGCAGGUUAAUACCCCGCUGUUCUGACGGUACCCAAAGAACAAGCACCGGCUAACUUCGUG